Suricata suricatta (meerkat) is the source of this 366-nucleotide long non-coding RNA. RefSeq lists it as uncharacterized. The record is from RefSeq and is a predicted model, not a curated record. NCBI's taxonomy places the organism in Eukaryota, Metazoa, Chordata, Mammalia, Carnivora, Herpestidae. The transcript is spliced from 4 exons.
UCCUUGCUAAGAAUUCCCCCAGAAGCUAGUCUCAAGGGCAAAUGUUCCAGCGACAUUCCUGAGCACCUUCAAUGUUCCAGGAGCUGUGCUAAGAGUUGCGGGUACAGAGAACUGCUGCUCAAAUGGCUGAGAAGGAAUUGUCAUCCAAUUCUGAUUACUUUUCACAGAAGAAUUACAAAGGUUCUUCAUUUGAGAUGAGCCUGCAGAGCUGCUGGGUGAAGAGCAGGAGAAUAGAUGGUGCCAAGGGAGCCCCUGAGAGGCGACUUCAUCAGAGCUGUCCAGCCUUGACAUUUACGAGGGUGGAGUUGCUGGUUCUGUAAUGCACACCCAGAUCAUCUUAUUGGAAUCAGCGUUCUGACUCAGUAG